UGUAUAAAUCGAUUAGUUACAAUGCUGACAUUAAUAUUAUUUUUAUCUGGUAUCUAGUACUGAGGUUCAUUAUAUUAUCUACUAUAGUCUUUACAAAGUUUCUACUUAGACUUAUGUUGAUUAUUAUUAAUUGUGGAUUCUAAUAUUAAAGUUUUUUACCAAAAUACUCGAGGGCUUCGUACAAAGACACAAAUAUUUAAACGUAAUCUUUUAUUAACAUCUUUUGACAUUGUUUCGCUGACAGAGACGUGGUUGCUUGAGUGUUUGGGAGACAGUGAGUUGUUUGAUGAUAGGUACGUAGUAUUUAGACGGGAUAGAAAUUACGAAAUGACUGGCGAAAAAUAUGGCGGCGGAACAUUACUCGCCGUUCAUAGGGACUUCGCAGCCAUUGAACGACCUGAGUGGCGGUCAUCUGCAGAGGAUAUUUGGGUGACAAUUACGCUAAAAAAUAACAAUCUUAAAGAAAACAUAAAACUACAUGUUUGUACAAUAUACCUCUGCAAAGAAGCGCUUGGUAACUCUUUUAACAUGCAGUUGAGUAAUUUUUCAGAAAAGCUUUCGUCUAUAUUUGAUACUUGCCCGAAUGACUCGUUUUUAAUAUUAGGGGAUUUUAAUUUAAAAAAUGUAGAAUGGUGUGAUGAAGGAAACUAUCUGCGUCCUAGUGGGGUAUCUGGGGUUUCUCAAUUGUUAUUUUUUGAUACUCUGUCAGAAUGUAACCUUAACCAAUUUAAUUAUAUUAGAAAUUCCUCCUGUAAUCGUAUCCUGGACUAUGUACUAUCCAAUGGGCCCGUAGUUGUCUCACACUGUGAGGAUCCUCUGGUUCCUGAGGACCCACAUCACAAAUCGCUUGAGAUCAAAUUAUCCUUCUUAACAAAUGUCGCACUUAAGAGCAAUCCUAGAAUUAAAUUUGUGUACGAGAAAGCCGACUUUGAGGCAAUAGUGAGUUCACUUAAUGAAGUCGAUUGGAAAUUGUUGUUAUAUAAUUGCUCCUUAGAUGAUGCUACGGAUGCCUUCUAUAAUCACCUAUAUCGCUUGCGAGAUUUAUUUGUGCCUAGAAAAAUAAUUUCUUCAGGCAAAUUUCCUGUCUGGUACACGUCCUCUUUAAAAAAAUUACUUAAAGAAAAGCGUAAAUACUUUAUUAAGUUUAAAAAGUAUAGAAAUUUGAGUGACCGCGAAACUUUUAAUCUUUUGAGAGAGAGGGCGAAAAGACUGGAAAAAGAAUGCUAUUAUAUGUAUAUUAAACGGUGCGAAGAUACUAUAAUUGAGGAACCUAAAUUAUUCUGGUCUUUUAUAAAAUCUAAUAGACAUGGUUCGAACUCUUUGCCUUCAACCAUGUAUCUUGAAGAUCAAUCAGCUGAUACUAGUGAUGAUAUUUCCAAUCUUUUUGCUACAUAUUUCCAUUCUAAUUUUCAAGACAAUUCCACUGAUUCUUCAAAUUCUGUUCCUGCUGGUCAUUUGCAUGGAUUUAAUUCGAUCUCGAAUAUUGAAAUUGACACUGAUUUUGUUCUCAAAUCGUUAACAACUGUUGACAUCUCUAAAGGUGCAGGGCCUGACCUGAUUGAUGCUAAAUUUGUUGCUGGCUGUGCUGCUGGUUUAUGUCAUCCUUUAUCGAUUCUGUUUAGAAGGUCUAUUGUUGAAGGGACUGUGCCUAAAAUAUGGAAGCAAGCAUUUAUUACUCCAGUACAUAAAAAUGGAAGCAAGAGUAAUAUUAAAAAUUAUAGACCAAUUUCUAAAUUAUGCAUUUUCGUAAAAAUUUUUGAGAAAAUUAUACAUGAUCAAGUGUACAAUGCUUUGGCUUCAUCAUUUAUCGAAGAGCAGCAUGGUUUUCUAAGAAAGAGGUCGACUAACUCCAAUCUUAUUAGUUUUAUUGAUUAUGUUACAGUUAAUAUGGAAUCAGGUGGACAAGUGGACUCUGUGUUCACGGAUUUUAGCAAGGCAUUCGAUCGUAUCGAUCAUGGAAUCCUGCUAAAAAAACUUUACUUAGCCGGAAUCCAUGGAAACCUAUUUAGGUGGUUCAGCUCUUAUAUUGAAAACCGAUCCCAAGCCGUAGCUAUUAAUGGCUCCCUAUCUAUUUGGAAUGUGGUGCCUUCUGGGGUACCUCAAGGCUCAUUAUUAGGACCCUUACUUUUUAAUAUUUUCAUAAAUGAUGUGCGCUCCUGCUUCUCAAACUCUCAGGUUCUCCUUUACGCGGAUGAUAUGAAAAUUUUCAGUAACAUUUCUAGUGUGUCGGAUUGUUUACUUCUUCAAGAGGACUUAAAUAAAUUUGCUGAAUAUUGCUCUAGUAAUAAAUUGGACUUAAACAUUAAUAAAUGCUACUAUAUUUCAUUUACCAGAAAGACAAAACCGACGCAUUACAAUUAUUGUUUAUUAGGCAAUGAACUAAAGAGAGUCGAAGAGAUUCGGGACUUAGGUAUCAUACAUGAUUCAAAAUUAACAUACGAAAUUCAUAUCGAUCACAUAGUUAAAAAGGCCUCUAGAUCUUUAGGAUUUCUUAAAAGGUCGUGCUCUCAGUUCACUAAUGUUAAACUGAUAAAAAUACUAUACUGUGCCCUGGUUCGUAGCUCCCUCGAGUAUUGCUCCCAAGUCUGGAAUCCUCAGUUCAAUAUAUAUAUUGAUAGGCUUGAAUCAAUCCAAAGAAAAUUUUUAAGGUACUUGCAAUUUAAAACAAAGUGUUUUGAUUCUUACUAUAAUUCUAUGUGUUCAAGGUACCAUUUUCUGCCAUUAUAUAUUCGCAGACAAACUGCCGAUAUUAUGUUUUUAGUAAAAAUUGCUCAAAGCCAGUUAGAUACUCCAUCUUUAUUAAAUAAAAUUUAUUUGAAAGUGCCUACUAGAACUGUUAGGUUGCCCACAUUUCUAUAUGUUCCAUAUAGUGCAUGUAAAUAUAGACAUAACUCUUUCUUUGUCAGAUCUGCUAUUGAGAUAAAUAAAAUAGCUGCCCACCCAGAUCUUGAUUUAUUCAAUUCUAGUGUCAAUAAAUUUAAAAACACUUUAUCUCAGGCAUGGUUUAAUGGUUCUCUCUCUGCAAGUUAGGUGUUCUCCUUGUGUGAUAUAUCUCUUUUUUUUCUGAUUUCUCUCUUUUUUAUGUUAGUUUUUUCCCCCUAAAUUUUUCUUUCCUUCUCUUUCAGACAAGCUGCUUAGUUACUCAUAUGCGAGAACAUGUUAAUGGUCAUUUGUUGUUUAUUUCUUUGUUUAUCUAGUUAUGUAAGACUGUUUGUUCUCCAAAUAAAAUAAAAUAAAAUAAAAUAUUAUCACAUCUAUUUCCCUUGUGGGGUAGACAGAGUGAACUGUAGAGAGCUAGCUACAUAGCUAGCUGUAAAGAGGCUUAAAUCAAAUUUCAUCAGAAAUGAAGCAAAGAAAAAAUGCUUCUAGAGAGCCCAUAGUCAUGCCCAGAAAAUAUUUUGUGGUUUAAAUAUAUCUUAUGAUUGUUUAUCUUUAUUUUAGUAACUUAAGAGUUCUACUUUAGAAUACCCAAAGCUAUACAAACGUGAUUUAACGGGACAAAUUUGCACAACCUGGUUGAAACAGCACGAAAAAAUGAUGCAACUAACGAAAUAGUGGUAACCUGGUCGACGUUUGCGCAGGCUAAGUCCAAAGUUUUAUACGGUGUACACCAGACUAACAAGGUGGCCGUCGGCGGCAGCACUGUCUUCGUGGACAGCGGUAAAGAGAAGAGGAAAC
Molecule: RNA transcript, 3678 nt
Organism: Amyelois transitella
Lineage: Eukaryota; Metazoa; Arthropoda; Insecta; Lepidoptera; Pyralidae
Gene name: acid phosphatase type 7
Exons: 2
Source: RefSeq, a predicted model, not a curated record